Molecule: ribosomal RNA, 253 nt
Filed under: uncultured bacterium
Lineage: Bacteria
Description: partial 16S ribosomal RNA
Rfam family: Bacterial small subunit ribosomal RNA
Source: RNAcentral
UACGUAGGCAGCGAGCGUUGUUCGGAAUUACUGGGCGUAAAGAGUGUGUAGGCGGUGCUCUAAGUUCGGUGUGAAAUCUCCUGGCUCAACUGGGAGGGUGCGCCGGAAACUGGAGUGCUUGAGCGUGGGAGAGGAAAGCGGAAUUCCUGGUGUAGCGGUGAAAUGCGUAGAUAUCAGGAGGAACACCGGUGGUGUAGACGGCUUUCUGGACCAUAGCUGACGCUGAGACACGAAAGCGUGGGUAGCAAACAGG